CCCUAUGGGGUGCAGCAGCCCCGUCAGCAUUUUGAUGGUAGUGGUUUUCCCGGCGCCGUUCGGCCCCAAAAAACAGAAAAAAGUCCCUGGCUGUAUGUGCAGAUUCAGGGUGUCCACCGCGCAUUUGGGGCCGAAGCGUUUUGUCAGGUUUUCAGUGAGCAUCAUGUACUGCUAAACACUCGCAAUAGGCUGUUUACUUUAGAUGUUACUUUAAAGGAGGUCUUCCUGGGAAUCAAACUUGAUUUUCAAGGUUCUAUUUUGUUUUACGGCUCGGACGUAGUCCUCCUACGGCGGAUAAACCCCGCCCUCCCAAUCUAAUUUAAUCGAAAGAAGCAGGGACAACCAAAGCACUAUAUUGAUAACGAGGUAUUCGAGGCUUAAGGCGACAGUGAGGGCGGGAGGGC
This 404-nucleotide ribosomal RNA is filed under the name uncultured prokaryote. RNAcentral describes it as "partial 16S ribosomal RNA". The record is from RNAcentral.